ACCUUCUUCUUCUUUCAUACGACUGACCCUGACCUACUCUCUUCACCACCGAAUUUCGCCGGAAAACUUAAGCUCCACCGCCGCCGUGGUCAUUCGAACUCAUCUCCGCCGCCGCCGUUCUCAAUUGAGGCUCAAGACUAAGAAACUUGAAAAUUUACCUAGUGACUGCAGCUUCUCUUGUAGCCCCUGAGCUGGACCGACUUCCUCGCCGUCUUUGAAUAUGUAAACCCGUAAAGUUGUGCUUGGAAUUGGGGAACUUGCUGAUUCAUCUUUCUAGAGAUAAUAUUUCUCACUGAAGAGGUAAUUGACUGUUGAGGAUUGCAUCGUUAUUUUGAUUAAAUAAUGUAAAGCACUUAUAUACCGUUGUAUUCACGCAUAUCUCUGCUUGUCAAGUUGAAUACUCUAGCAGAAAAUUGAUUUCAAUUUGUACUUCAAAAGUAAAACUUAGAUUGACUGAAUGCUACACUGA
This is a long non-coding RNA of Spinacia oleracea (spinach), 469 nucleotides long. RefSeq lists it as uncharacterized. The transcript is spliced from 3 exons. Lineage: Eukaryota; Viridiplantae; Streptophyta; Magnoliopsida; Caryophyllales; Amaranthaceae. The record is from RefSeq and is a predicted model, not a curated record.